Molecule: small RNA, 29 nt
Filed under: Bombyx mori (domestic silkworm)
Lineage: Eukaryota; Metazoa; Arthropoda; Insecta; Lepidoptera; Bombycidae
Description: ovarian small RNA-28079
Source: RNAcentral
UCCUUGGUGGCGCAAUCAUCCAGGCCGGU